Molecule: long non-coding RNA, 300 nt
Organism: Thalassophryne amazonica
Lineage: Eukaryota; Metazoa; Chordata; Actinopteri; Batrachoidiformes; Batrachoididae
Exons: 3
Source: RefSeq, a predicted model, not a curated record
UGUUCAGGCGUGUGCUUUUCUGAUGUUCUGGGCUGUGGUGACGACCCUCUGGAGAGCUUUCCUGUCUGUGACUGUGCAGCUGGAAAACCACACACACAGACAGUAGGUCAAAAUGCUCUCUAUGGAGCAGCGAUAGAACGACACCAGCAGUCUCUGUGGCAGAUGGUUAUUCCUGAGAACCCUCAGGAAAUAGAGUCUCUGCUGUGCCUUCUUGAUGGUAGCCAUAGUAUUUGUGCUCCAAGUCAGGUCGUCUCUCAAAUACACGCCCAGAAAACGAAAUUGAGAGACCCACUCCACACA